AUUGAACGCUGGCGGCAGGCUUAACACAUGCAAGUCGAGCGGGGGAAGGUAGCUUGCUACCGGACCUAGCGGCGGACGGGUGAGUAAUGCUUAGGAAUCUGCCUAUUAGUGGGGGACAACAUCUCGAAAGGGAUGCUAAUACCGCAUACGUCCUACGGGAGAAAGCAGGGGAUCUUCGGACCUCGCGCUAAUAGAUGAGCCUAAGUCGGAUUAGCUAGUUGGUGGGGUAAAGGCCUACCAAGGCGACGAUCUGUAGCGGGUCUGAGAGGAUGAUCCGCCACACUGGGACUGAGACACGGCCCAGACUCCUACGGGAGGCAGCAGUGGGGAAUAUUGGACAAUGGGGGGAACCCUGGUCCAGCCAUGCCGCGUGUGUGAAGAAGGCCUUAUGGUUGUAAAGCACUUUAAGCGAGGAGGAGGCUACUCUAGUUAAUACCUAGGGAUAGUGGACGUUACUCGCAGAAUAAGCACCGGCUAACUCUGUGCCAGCAGCCGCCGCCG
Molecule: ribosomal RNA, 501 nt
Filed under: uncultured bacterium
Lineage: Bacteria
Description: partial 16S ribosomal RNA
Rfam family: Bacterial small subunit ribosomal RNA
Source: RNAcentral